This is a long non-coding RNA of Mauremys reevesii (Reeves's turtle), 534 nucleotides long. RefSeq lists it as uncharacterized. The record is from RefSeq and is a predicted model, not a curated record. NCBI's taxonomy places the organism in Eukaryota, Metazoa, Chordata, Testudines, Geoemydidae. The transcript is spliced from 4 exons.
UGUCUGUCUCAGGUUUGCCUCCUUGCCUAGUAUCCUGCAUGCUCUAGCUCCUGACCUCUGGUUUUGACCUUUGCCUCCACCUCCUGUGGGACUCUGGAAUGACCCUGGAUUCUGGAUUUCACAUCAAGUCAAGUACUUCCCUGCCACUGCACAAUCUCCAGUGAGCACAGCCCUGAUGAAUUUUUACAGAUAUGGUUUUAUUCUACUUGCACUACUAAGCCAUUUAAUGUAUCUUCAUGCAGAGAUGUGAAAAAGUCUAUAAAAAUGAGGAGGUUGAGGAUGAGAGCUACCAGUUAUAGAAGUCUGAAAGAUGGACAAAGUAACUUAGGAGAUUGUCAUUUUCAAGAGACUUAGGAUUACACUAGGUGGCACUGUUCAGAUCAAAUACUGCCAAAUAUGAUUAUGAUGAAGAAUCCGAUUAGUAACAGAGAAAUGUCACCUAUAUAGUUUGAAGUGAACUUUGGUCCGAAGUAAUGUUGGAUGUCAUAGCGCAGCCUAGUAAUUCCUGAGAAACCUACCUCAUUAAAAUCAGUU